This 236-nucleotide long non-coding RNA is filed under the name Ananas comosus (pineapple). Its description in RNAcentral is "long non-coding RNA (ACOM_LNC036435)". The record is from RNAcentral. Lineage: Eukaryota; Viridiplantae; Streptophyta; Magnoliopsida; Poales; Bromeliaceae.
AAAUCUAUAAAUAGGCCUGUAGUACCCUGAAAAUGGGUCUUCGCCCCUGCGCACAAAAGACCACCUUUAUUUUCCUGCAUCUUUCUUUCCUGCAUUUAUUGCUUUUCCUAGGAGUAGUUCCUGUAACUUAGCCUCCUUGGAGUCUGUCUGCCUCCGGGCAUCACUCCCUUGUACACCUCGGAGUCUGUCUGCCCUCCGGGCAUCACUCCCUUUUUAUUAAUAGAAAGUCGUUUCCG